CCGAGUUAGGGUCUCCUAGGCCCGACCUCCCAACCCUUUGUUUACUGAACCACUGUUGCUUCGGCGGGCCCGUCUCCGCGACCGCCGGAGGAGCGCUGAAAGGCGUGUCCUCUGGCCCGCGUCCGCCGAUGGCCAACCACAAAACUCUGUAUAAAUCGUGUCUUUAUGUCUAAGUCAAUGAUUGAAUUAAAAGUA
Molecule: unclassified non-coding RNA, 195 nt
Filed under: uncultured Herpotrichiellaceae
Lineage: Eukaryota; Fungi; Ascomycota; Eurotiomycetes; Chaetothyriales; Herpotrichiellaceae
Description: sequence contains ITS1
Source: RNAcentral